RNAcentral lists this transfer RNA (85 nucleotides) under Bimuria novae-zelandiae CBS 107.79. It matches the Rfam family "tRNA". Rfam says of the family: Transfer RNA (tRNA) molecules are approximately 80 nucleotides in length. Their secondary structure includes four short double-helical elements and three loops (D, anti-codon, and T loops). Further hydrogen bonds mediate the characteristic L-shaped molecular structure. tRNAs have two regions of fundamental functional importance: the anti-codon, which is responsible for specific mRNA codon recognition, and the 3' end, to which the tRNAs corresponding amino acid is attached (by aminoacyl-tRNA synthetases). tRNAs cope with the degeneracy of the genetic code in two manners: having more than one tRNA (with a specific anti-codon) for a particular amino acid; and 'wobble' base-pairing, i.e. permitting non-standard base-pairing at the 3rd anti-codon position. RNAcentral also lists the same sequence under 1 other name. The record is from Rfam by way of RNAcentral. Lineage: Eukaryota; Fungi; Ascomycota; Dothideomycetes; Pleosporales; Didymosphaeriaceae.
GCCCGCUUGGCUCAGUGGUAGAGCGUAUCACUAGUAGCUGCAAUAAGCCAUGAUAAGGUCAUCAGUUCGAUUCUGAUAGUGGGCA